GACGAACGCUGGCGGCGUGCUUAACACAUGCAAGUCGAACGGAAAGGCCCUGCUUUUGUGGGGUGCUCUAGUGGCGACCGUGUGAGUAACCCGUUAGUAACCUGCCCUUUACUUUGGGAUAACUUCAGGAAACUUGGGCUAAUACCGGAUAGGAGCUCCUGCUUCAUGGUUUGGGUUGGAAAGUUUCGGCGGUUGGGGAUGGACUCGCGGCUUAUCAGCUUGUUGGUGGGGUAGUGGCUUACCAAGGCUUUGACGGGUAGCCGGCCUGAGAGGGUGACCGGCCAAAUUGGGACUGAGAUAAGGACCAGACUCCAACGGGAGGCAGCAGUGGGGAAUAUUGCACAAUGGGCGGAAGCCUGAUGCAGCAACGCCGCGUGCGGGAUGACGGCCUUCGGGUUGUAAACCGCUUUCGCCUGUGACGAAGCGUGAGUGACGGUAAUGGGUAAAGAAGCACCGGCUAACUACGUG
This 468-nucleotide ribosomal RNA is filed under the name uncultured bacterium. RNAcentral's name for it is "partial 16S ribosomal RNA". It matches the Rfam family "Bacterial small subunit ribosomal RNA", at positions 28 to 507 of the family's 1533-position model. The record is from RNAcentral.